RNAcentral lists this ribosomal RNA (231 nucleotides) under uncultured bacterium. RNAcentral describes it as "partial 16S ribosomal RNA". It matches the Rfam family "Bacterial small subunit ribosomal RNA", at positions 524 to 757 of the family's 1533-position model. The record is from RNAcentral.
UACGUAGGGGGCAAGCGUUGUCCGGAUUUAUUGGGCGUAAAGAGCGUGUAGGCGGUUUGGUAGGUCCGUUGUGAAAACUCGAGGCUCAACCUCGAGACGCCGGCGGAAACCAUCAGGCUAGAGUCCGGAAGAGGAGAGUGGAAUCCUGGUGUAGCGGUGAAAUGCGCAGAUAUCAGGAAGAACACCCGUGGCUAAGGCGGCUCUCUAGUACGGUACUAACGCUAGAGCGAA